Molecule: ribosomal RNA, 468 nt
Filed under: uncultured bacterium
Lineage: Bacteria
Description: partial 16S ribosomal RNA
Rfam family: Bacterial small subunit ribosomal RNA
Source: RNAcentral
GACGAACGCUGGCGGCGUGCUUAACACAUGCAAGUCGAACGGAAAGGCCCUGCUUUUGUGGGGUUCUCGAGUGGCGAACGGGUGAGUAACACGUGAGUAACCUGCCCUUGACUUUGGGAUAACUUCAGGAAACUGGGGCUAAUACCGGAUAGGAGCUCCUGCUGCAUGGUGGGGGUUGGAAAGUUUCGGCGGUUGGGGAUGGACUCGCGGCUUAUCAGCUUGUUGGUGAGGUAGUGGAUUACCAAGGCUUUGACGGGUAGCCGGCCUGAGAGGGUGAACGGGCACAUUGGGCCUGAGAUACGGCCCAGAAUCCUACGGGAGGCAGCAGUGGGGAAUAUUGCACAAUGGGCGGAAGCCUGAUGCAGCAACGCCGCGUGCGGGAUGACGGCCUUCGGGUUGUAAACCGCUUUCGCAUGUGACGAAGAGUGAGUGACGGUAAUGGGUAAAGAAGCACCGGCUAACUACGUG